CACAUGGUGGUUAGUGAAAAGAAAAUUAUACGAAUUCUAGGUUUAAAAAUAUAAAAUUAAAAGAGUUAGCCCCAAAAGCCACAAACUCAGGGCUAAGCCCUGCCGCCAGGAAUAGCAGGCCAUAAAGAUAAAGAAAAGGAAUGCAAGAACCAGCUCAGGCUAUCGAGGACUGACCCAUAAACCAUCCAAAGACGUCCCCCCAGCUUACUCAGAGUCAUACUUUAACCAGAUGUCCUCCAGACCCUGAUAAGCCCCUACUUGUGCUUUUCAGCCAUUGUGUCCUGCAGAGAGCAUUCCAAGAAACCGGGCAGCCCAAGCCUAACCAGAGGUGUUUCAAAUACAAAUGCUCCAUCAGUUUUGACAAACGUUUAAAAAUAAUGAGGACCUGAAGACCCUACCCUUCUCCUGAUUUAGUAGCUCUGUUCCAGGAACCAGGGGGCCAUAAAACCUUCUGGCGUCCCCUUAUCUCCUGGAGCCAUAAAACAAUCUUGUAACUUGUGGUACAUUCCCCUUUGACAUCCCCCAUCCCCUGGUGCUCACAGCCUCUGCCUUUAAAUACUCUUUUUCCCAGCCUCUCGGGGCCGACACCUCUGUCUCCUGCGCGGGAUAUGUGUCGGCCCGGAGAUCUCUGUAAUAGGUCUCCGUAAUAAACCUCGCCUUUGCUUAUUACAUCCAAAAUGGUCUCUCUGUGUCUGGGGUCCGCGAUUUCCCAAGACUUGAGUAAGGGUCUCUCUGCGUGGGAUCUUUCAUAUUUAUGGGGGCUCGUCCGGGAUCUGUGCGACUACCCCAGACUCCGAAGACCCCUUGGAGGUGAGUUGGAUGUUUGUCUGAGUGUUUCUGUGUGAGCGGCGCCGCAAUUGUCAGUCUGUGUCUGUCUCUGUUUUGGUUCCACCGUGUGUGUAUAUAUGUGUGUCUUAGUACUGGUCAGUGUUAAGAGGGCAGAUGGGUAUUCCUGCCCUGUGGUAAGAGGGUGGAUGUGUAUUCCUGCCCUGUAGGAGAGUGGAUGUGUAUCCCCACUCAGUGCAGCUGCCUUUGUGGUCCGUGAGGACCCCCUGGCUGCGGAAGGGGGGACGCCCCGGGCCCGCAAGGCUGCAGCCCCUGGAAGACGUUCCACGGGCGGAGAACAGUCGGGAGAGCCCGGCUAUGGACAGUCAGGAGGACCUGACUCUGGUUUUCUGGAACAAAGGAGAUGGAAUGCUCCUUUUACCUAGGCGGGAGUGGACGAGGAAUCCCACUCCGUCAGAGGUCGAGUUCGGCUGCCUAUUUAAAUAUAGGCACGGACAAGUGUGCUUAGUCGUUAGGACAAGAGGACACUCUGGAAUCCUGUUGGGAGGUGGAAUCAGAUGGUCCAUCUCAUCCCAAAAGCAGCUAAGGUUAAGCUGCAGUUUGGGCCACGUACUGAAGGUACCAGGCAUCUGUGAAAGUUGGUUAUAAGAUGCUUUGUCUUGAUAUUGUUUGUCUGGCUUGUUUUCUGUGGUAUUGUCAAGUGUCUUUUUGGCUUUUGUUUCGUUUUUAAAUUUAGACUGACGACUGUGUUUAAAAUCUUGGACUGACGACUGUGUUUAAAAUCUUGGACUGAUGACUGUGUUUGAAAUCAUGAAACUGUUUGCUUUGUUCGUCAAAGAGUUUUACUUGGUCCUCUUGGUGCUUAAGUUAAGAGUUAAAAAUAAUUUGCUUGAAAAAAAUUGUUUUCUGCCAGGGAGUUUUGUCUUUCUCUCUUGAGCCUCCUCUCCAAGGAGAGAGGCGCCACCCUUUACUCCCCUUGAUCAGCCUAGCUGCUGUUAACAGUUGUGUAAACAGACAUUAACAAAAACCUUGAGGACAAAACUGCUCAUAAAUAAAAAAGUUCCCCAGAUUAGGCCUCCGGUAUGAAACAAGUAUAGUGAGUAAGAAACUUAAUUUUAUGGACCCCGCUCUAGUGGCAGUGUGUUGGUUGAUAGCCAACGUUAAUUUUUAAAACAUAGUGUUUUAUCUGUGCUUGUGCUCGCAGCACACAGUAGGGGGGAGCGAAAUUAGCUGCGGAGCUGCUGCAGCGAGCAUGGGGACUUCUCAAGUCUCACCCAAUUUUUCUGGCUCUUCAGGAGCUGUUUAAAAGGAAAAGGCUUAAGGUAAAAAGAAACACUAUAAAAAGAUUUCUUAGUAAAUUACUACACCUUGGUUUGCGAUCUCUGGGAAUCUCAUGGUGGACAGCUGAGAUAAGCUGGAAAAGGAUUUAAAUUUUGCUUAGAAACAAAGAAUCUUAAAGGUGGAGUUUCAGCCGGUAUGACACUUAGUGCAUAGCUGCCUAAAAGAUCAGAAAUGCUGUCAACAGGCUAUAAAAAAGGGACAGGCUGUGUUAAAAAUGCUACAUAAAGAAUAAUCUAAAAAGGCUGAGAGUGAGGUGGGAGAGGACUCUAAGAAAAACAAGAACAAGAAAGGAAUUUCUGCUUUUAGUGACCAGACCUUCAACUCUUGCUCACAGAAAGAGGGUGCUCAUUAAGAGAAGUUCUUUAAGGAGCCUGCCUUAUCUGCUGGCCCUAUUCCAAGAGAGGAGCCAGUCUCCAGCAUUAAAUUACUUUUCUCACUGGUCAUCAUUAGCAUGGAGAAUGCCUUUGAUCCUAUCCCCACAGCAGCCAGUUCCUGCCCCUGUGGUAGAAAUGUCCCAGGUUGGGGGGCAGAGAAGCCCCUAAAAUAGUUUCAAAGAAUCUACAACAAACUGUAAAGAACUUUGUUUUGUUUUGCCAGUUUGAAUUUAGAAUUCAGGCUUUGGCUGUGGCCGAGGUCAGGAUUAAUGUUUUCGUUUCCAUGGGCCCUUAGCCCACUGAGACAGUUUGGUAAAGGACUACUACUACAGUCCUGAUAUUCAGAGACAUGGAGAGAGCUAUAGUUUUUUUUUAUUAAAGGUUGGUACUAUAGUAUUAACAAUCUCUUUAUUAGAUAUAAGAGACAAGAAGCCCCAGGUGAACUGGUUACAAUUCUUUUGUCAGCUGCUUAGUAUCUAACACUCAGGUUCUAUCGUCUCUCCAUCCUUUUAUUAUUAGUUGUUACUGAAAGCCUAGUGCCAUUUAGAGGAUGGGUCUCUUGAGCGAUAAAACCACUGAGCUGACACUAAAGGAAAGUACUCCUUAAGGGAAAAUCUAAGUCCAGAGAGACAGCCGGUAGCAGAUAGGCUGCCCCUCUGCUCACUUUUCUGUUUCACAGACACAAGGUCUUUUUGUCCCAAGAAAGCCUCCUGGCUUAGCUGUGUGACUAAAUGCUAUUUGCCCUCUUCAGUGGACCUCUAUUCUCAAGAUUCCCUUGUUUUCUCACCAUCCCAUUUGAGAUGCUUGUUAGUAACUGUUACAGGUCUUCUUUACCACCGAGGAAAGACGGAAUCCUACUAGAGGCCAGAAAAAGUGUUCCAGAGAUGGAUAGAAGGCCCUCACUUCUGCCUGCUCUCUUCAGACGCCUAAAGGUAGGGAGUGCCAGGUCUGCUGCCAGGCUCCAAGGGUGGGUCUCUGAGGGGCUAGAAAAUGCCCCACCAAUCUGGCUAAGAUAAAGAAAGGAUAUGAAAAAAAAAGUUACAAAAAUUUGAAGGGUUAAGUUAAGUUGCUGAGAGUUAGUGUAAGUUACAGAGAAAGUAAGGUUAAAAAAAAAAGAGGUAAAAAGAACAGAAAGCUAGGGAAAAAAAGAGACAAAAAAAAGAAGUUAGAGAGCUAAAGAGAGAUAAAAGACAAGAGAGGAACAUAUACUGGCCACAGUAGUUAGGGAACCUAGGAAGAUAGUACCUGACAACAGAAGAGAAUUCCUGGCUAAAGAUCAGUGUGCCUAAUACGAAGAAAAAGGACAUUGGGUCAGGGACUGCCCCAGAAAGAACAAGAGGGGACACUGGAGAGCCUCUUGGUGCUGGCUAUGCACAGAGAUGGAAGGGAAGCCCGCCCAGUUGUUUUGUGGAUACAGGGACCCAAUGCUCUGUGCUCCUAUGCUCCAGUGGGCCAGUAUCCAAAGACCUUUGGUACAGGGGCCUACUGACAACAAACAAUACUUAUGGACUGCCCGAAGAACAGUGGACCUUGGCGUGGGCCGGGUAACCCACCCACUAAUUCAUGGUCAUCCCUGACUGCCCCCAUCCCUUGCUCAUGAGAAAAUUGCUCUCCAAAUUGGCUUGCGUGGGCUGAAAUGGCUGGAUGAGGCCAUGUGUAUACAUAUCUAUAGACUGUGUAUGUGGAGCUUAAGACCUGUCUCAGUACACCAGUAACUGAUGCUGGGAGUUGAAUGGCUUAGUGCUUUUCUGCCUGAAACACACCGUUCCUGCCAGCCGGGCACUAACAAUUAUCACCCAAUCCAGGACUUAAACUGUGAUAGAGUGGCUGAUAGAGUGUCCAAAGAUGGGACCACUGGUCAGCUGCCAUGGACUAGAUUCUCCACCGGUUGGGGACAAUCUGGUCACCUUGCUGCCCAAUCCGGACCUGGAGCCACCACAGCACGAGUGUCAAACACUGACAGAAGCACAUGGGUGGAGGAAAGACCUCUGCGACUGGCUGAUUGAUCCCUGCUGAAAGCCGAGGACCUUGUCCACAGACAGGAACAGUUCUCUUCAUGAAUGAAGGUCAGAGACAAGUGGGUGCUGCCAUGGUGGACAACACAAUGUCAUCUAGAAUGGCUGAACCUCUACCCCCCCAGCACAUCAGCGCCACAGAUGCCUUUGCCAUCUCUUGGAUGCCCUGAUGAAGCCAACAACUGUGAGUACUAUUCAUUGCCCAGGAAAACAGGAGGGAAGAGAUUCAGUGACAUGGGGCAGUGACAAAACAGAUAAAGUGGCUCGGGAAAUGGCUAUACAGGAGCCUAUCCUGGUUACAGGCCUGCAAGAGACAGCCACUGAGAACUAGGAUUAGACUAAGGGAUGGCCUCACUUAGAAAAGGCCCAAGUUGUUUAAAAGAUAAAAAGACAAUGACACACUUGAGGGGAAGGCUAUACUCCCCAGAAAACAAAGAAAAGACUCACUUUGCCAAAUACAGAAAUGGACUCAUUUAGGAGAUAAAAAGUUUGUCCAAGUAGUUAAGGUAUAUGUAAUAGACUUUAAGAUUUUAGCCAAGAGAGACAGUAAAAAAUAUAAGAUACGUCAGUAAACAAAUGCUUAACAAACAAACAAGACAAAGAGACCUAGAGAGUUUAAUAAAAAGUCAAAGUGAACUUCACUGAGAUAAAACCAGAAAAAUAUAAUCACAAGUAUCUCCUAGUGCUUGUAGAUACUUUUUCAGGAAUAGAUAGAAGCUUUCCUCACCAAACGAGAGACGGCCUCUACAAUCAUCAAGAAGAUACUGAAAGAAAUCUUCCCCAGGUCUGGAAUGCCCAAGGUAAUCUGGUCAGACAACGGUCCUACUUUCGUUGCCAAGAAAGAAGAAAUUAUGCCAAAAAGGAAAACCUGUCAUUUUUCAUGGAUCCUGGGUCCCCUUUGUCUCCUCCUUGACAAGCGUAGACUUAUUGUCCCAGCAAUCAACUAUUGAUUGAACACCAGCUAUGGUUCUUGCAAUCUCAGCUUCUAGGCCAGAGCUCAAUGAAUCACAGAUAUUUAAUAAUGUUAAACAAAGUGGUUGCAUGGGGCUUUACGCUUGACCACAUUUAACAUGAUAUGAGAUAUGAAAAUGUGGCGAAGGUGUCCUUUUUAGAUCCUAUAUGUUUGUGAAGCCAUCUAUUAAUGAGACAAAGAGCUUUUAAAGUAGAAAGUUUAUCCUGGAGGCAAAACUGUGUGUCAUUAUUCUUCGUGGAAGUCAUACAGCCAUGCAUCUAGCUGCCAAGAGAGUGUCUGAGAGUGUUCACUGCAAAAUGACACAAGGACACCCACUGAUAUCCACACCACAGUUCAUGCUGUGGAUCACUUUGCUUAGCAUAGACCAUUAAAGUAAGCCUGACGUAGAAGAUGUUGCACAGCCUUGGUGGCUGGUAACAGGUCUCCCUCACUGAAAGUUCCUCUAGCUAGCCCGUAGGUACUACAUCUUUAUUAUCAGGGGACCCAUCUGUGAAGUCUGGGCGCUGUACCCUCAAAAGUAUGAUAUGUGAUGGUUAAUAUGAAUUGUCAACUUGACAGUGUCUAAUCAUUGAAGAGACAUAUGGGCAUUGCUAGAAUAGGUUAACCAAGGCAGAAAGAUCCACCCCAAAUAUGAGUGAUGCUAGGCUGUGGAUGGAGGGCCUGGGAUGAAUAAAAAGGACGGCCACCAUUUUUCACUUUAUUUUCUGACUGUGGAUAUCACGUGAUCAACUGUCUCAAGCUCCUGACACCAUGAUGGACCGUACCUUCCAACUGGGAGCCGAAGUGAACCUCUCCUCCCUGGGGUUGUUCUUGCAGGUGUUUUGGCACAGUAACAAAUUCCCAGGAGCCAAGGACUCUGGGGCCAGGCACUCUGCUUUUGACAUGGGAUCACUCUUGAUGCUGUCGGGGAUUUGACUGGAGAUGCAAGGUCUGUUUCUAACAUCGAAUUCCGAAAUGUUGGAGCUGUGAUUUCUCCUGGUUCCACGGCACGGUACCAUGGAACGGAUGCAGAGAGAUAGAAGGCGCACUAUGGAUCAAUAAUUCUACCUCCUUGCUGGAGUGGGAAUCUCUCAGCCCAGAAACUGCAAAACGAUCAAAUGACCUCUUUUCCUGUCCCAUCCCCAAACAUGUACUGAUAGAUAUUACUUCUCAUUCCUUGAUGGCUGUGCCACCAGCCAGUGUGGGGCUCGGCAAAGGACUCAUGGUUGUAAUGCAUGGAGAAACAUGGACUUCUGAAAAGAUUGAUUUUUUAACCACAGAGGCAUAGUACAUGUGCUAAAUCAAACUGAAGGCGCUGGCUCCCCAUGAGGUCUUAGCUCAAAUAUUAAUCACCAGAGUGGUAAACAGUCUGAGCCCGGGCUACCGUGCUGACAGAAAGACCAGACAUAGGAGAGCCAGGCAGCAGUGAGGCUCAGGGAACAGAUGGCUCCUGACCCAGCACUGUGCCUAGCACUGUUUUCUUAAAAUAACUACUUCAUGAUAACCUCUUAUUCAAGUGAAAUGGAUUUCGUAGGUCUGUAACACAACUAGAUACGGAAUUUUAAAACUUAGCUAAAUAGUGUGCUUCAUGUAGAAAAUACAUACAGAGAAAAAUUUAGAUAAUUUAGGGAUUUUUAACUUAAUUUUUCACUUACAUUGUAUGUAUGUGAAUGCAUACACACAUGCCAUGGUGUGCAGGUCGGAGGAUAACUUGUAGGUCGGUUCUGAUUUUCGUCUUUCACCAUUGGGGUUCUAGGGACAGAACUAGACUGCCAGGCUCGCAGCAAGUAUUUCUUUCCAAUAAGCCAUCUUGCCCCAUUUCAGUGCAUAAGUGCUUGCUACACCUUCUCUCAAGAUGGAGUAAAUAACCAGAAUCCUAUAUAUAAUUAUUUUAAAUAUAUUGGUGUGCCAAUUAGUUUUUGUUAACAUAAAUUAGAAUCUAACAUAAACUAAGAAGAGAAAAACCUCCCCUGAGGAAUGGCCUCCUUAGUUUGGCCUGUGGGCGUGUCUGUGGGGUGUUUUGUUGAUUGAGGAAGGCUGUGUGAAGGCCCAGCUCACUGUGGGUGGGGCCAUCCAGGGCAGUUGAGCAGGCCAUGAGGAGCAAGACAGUGAGCAGCACUCCUCUAUGGCCUCUGCUUCAAUUCCUGCCUCCAGGUUCCUGCCCUCUAUAAGUUCCGGCCUUGGCUUUCCCCAAUGACAGACAAUGACCUGCAAGCCAAGUAAAACCAUUUCCUCCCUGAAUCGUUUUAAGUCAAUGUGUUUUAUCACAUGGGGGAAAAAAAAACUAAUACAACUGGGAUAUGAGAUGAA
Non-coding RNA from Rattus norvegicus (Norway rat), 7778 nucleotides. The record is from RefSeq and is a predicted model, not a curated record. NCBI's taxonomy places the organism in Eukaryota, Metazoa, Chordata, Mammalia, Rodentia, Muridae.